GCCAUUGACGCUGUCACCUGGGAAGACAUGGGGGUAAGCACUUGCAACACAGGCGCCAGCUACAGCUUCCGGUAGCACCGGAAGGAGCAUUUCAUUCGCGUACAUGCAUAAUGAACGUAACUGGUAUUCACACGAUGGCAAAGGCAAAAGAACGUCCUCUUUGAACGCAGUGGGAGUGCUGAAGGCCUCUGGCCGCGCCAUGGCUGCUGAGGUGGGACGCAGUAAGAUAGUAAUUUCAACCUCCGAAGAUCCUAAGGGUUAUGGAACACAAAAGUGGCAGACCCAAGACACGGCACCAGACCCAAGACACGUCACCAGCCCUGACCGGGGGACCCGAUUGGCUGGCUGUCAAGACCAUCCUCGGGCCCCGAUGAAGGCUGUUACUGCCGCCCAAAGCCAUUUCUGAGGUGAGAGCUCGCUCAGCGAAGGGUUGGGAAACCCUCUCCUCCUCAUCCUCAUCCUUCCGGCUCAUCAGCAUGCUGAGAGAAGAUAUGAGGGAUGCCGCUCGUCUGAAUAUUCCUCUCUCCCUCAGGCUGAGAUCCACACCCACCCACCCACCGCCUCCCCCCUCCCACUUUCAUGCAGCAUUUUCACCACGGCACAUUGAGAACAAAUUGGCAGAAAUGAUCAGUGUGAAUGUUCUCUCUUCAGGGAGUCUGGGCGGGGAGAAAAAUGGUUAUUUUUAUGUUUUUAUACCGAUUUCCAUUGUUAUAUUGUAUCUCUGUGCACGAGUGGAGGAAACGUUUAAUGGCUCGACUAAAAGUGGGGAUGCUCAACACGAUAUCAUCAGCCGAUGUUGGCAUAAAAAUGACAUAUUGCUUCAUAUCAGUAUUGCCUUUUCCGUGGAUAAUGAUAUUGACGUAAGUUCAAGAUUUCCAGCUCGGUUUAUUCUCGCUUUGGAACGUCUUUAGAAUGCAAACAUGGUAUUUGCAAAGACGCUAAAGUGCUACGAUAUGACUCAUGUCACAUCGGGAAAAAUCGCUCGGAGUCACACAGAAGGAGCACGCUUGCGGCAAAAGAAGCCAAGGAGGGACCAAUAGCCUCGGUUUACAUGCGUUUCAGUUCAAGAACAGAUUAAUGAUGAAAACUGAGGUACAGUCGUCCUUCCUUAUUCGUUCCAGACCCGACAGUGCUAGGUGAAUUUCUGCAAACUACGAUUCAAUAUUAAUAAAUUGAAUUUUUUUGUAGUUGGAGCAUAGGAAACGUGUUUAUGCCUUUUCUAAAUAAUUUUUAAAAUCAUUAAGAGCUGCGCAGACAUAAGAUAACAUCCCUAUAAUCACCUUUACACUCCUAUUAUUCUGUGUUGACACCACAUUGCUAACACACGGGCUAUGGGAUCACUGAAGACAAAAUAAGA
This is a non-coding RNA of Doryrhamphus excisus (bluestripe pipefish), 1357 nucleotides long. NCBI's taxonomy places the organism in Eukaryota, Metazoa, Chordata, Actinopteri, Syngnathiformes, Syngnathidae. The record is from RefSeq and is a predicted model, not a curated record.